GGUCCUGUGUCUGUGGAAUGCGCGGAUAGCCACACCCCCCGGGCUGGGCCAUCCUCGGCACACCUGCUCUCCAUCGCUGUGAUUACAGGAGAAGCUACUUCACCCGGCGCUGACGGAUGCUCCGUGCCAGUCCGUUAUCACAUCACAAGUGGUAACUAGGCUCCCAUGAAAGCGCGUAUCACUUCUGGUUGGAACUGUAUCUAAUCUGCCUACUUAUGUCCAGGUUUCGAUUCGGCGUUCAGCAUCUGUCACCUGCCUGUCCUCCUGCUCGAUUGGAUCUCUCAGUACAUCACCUGGCUCUUCCACUAGCUCCACAGGACUUCCUGCUCACGGACUGCCACUCAACCCUCCCGAGCUCCCACGGUCCCGCUCUAUCCCUCCCACGGUCCCGAUUCCGGCUUCCCCGUGUUGUUUCCUCCCCGGGUUUUUCAGUUCCUCGUUUUGCUCUCUAGGUUUCCCGGGUCGCCUUUCGUUAUUGUAAUAAAGUGCCUUUUCUGUUA
This is a long non-coding RNA of Oreochromis niloticus (Nile tilapia), 500 nucleotides long. RefSeq lists it as uncharacterized. The transcript is spliced from 2 exons. NCBI's taxonomy places the organism in Eukaryota, Metazoa, Chordata, Actinopteri, Cichliformes, Cichlidae. The record is from RefSeq and is a predicted model, not a curated record.